RNAcentral lists this ribosomal RNA (1791 nucleotides) under Dictyterina cholodkowskii. Its description in RNAcentral is "partial 28S ribosomal RNA". It matches the Rfam family "Eukaryotic large subunit ribosomal RNA", at positions 44 to 961 of the family's 3401-position model. Lineage: Eukaryota; Metazoa; Platyhelminthes; Cestoda; Cyclophyllidea; Paruterinidae. The record is from RNAcentral.
CAAUAAGCGGAGGAGAAGAAACUAACUAGGAUUCCCUCAGUAACGGCGAGUGAAGAGGGAGGAGCCCAGCACCGAAGCCUGUGGCAGGUUUGCUGUUAGGCCAUGUGGUGUGCGGGUCGGCUGGCGGGACUGUCGCUCCACUCGAAGUCCAGCAUUGAGUAUGGUUAUGAGGGGAUUUGGCCCACAGAGGGUGAGAGGCCCGUGCGGGUGGAGGUUCAGACAUGUAAGGCGGUUCACCAGGUCGGCCUCAGAGUCGGGUUGCUUGAGAUUGCAGCCCAAAGUGGGUGGUAAACUCCAUCCAAGGCUAAAUACAGGCUCGAGUCCGAUAGCGAACAAGUACCGUGAGGGAAAGUUGAAAAGUACUCUGAAGAGAGAGUAAACAGUACGUGAAACCGCAUGCAGGUAAACGGGUGGCGUCAAGCUGCUAGCCCGGGGAAUUCAGCUGACUGGGUUGUAGGGUGCGCGCCUGGUGCGCCAAGUGGCCAGAGUAGGUGGGGACGGUCCACUCCUCGGCUGGGGGUGGGGAUGCGGCUGCGGUGGCGGGGUGGCAGUAUGUUCUACGUGUUGUCAGUCUGUCGCCGUGAUCGUUGCCAUGCGUGUCGUUGAGAAUGCGAAGCAUGCCGUCUGUCUGUGGAGCCGCCUGGUCAGUGCAUUUUCCCUGUGGUGAAUACCACGACCGGUGGGAUUGCCAGUCUGCCGUGGUCGAGUCGCGUCCUUCUGGUGGGGUGGUGGUCGGUGGUUUUCACCACCGCCAUUAUCACCGUCAGGUGGGCGUGAUCGCGGGCGGAGCGAGUGGACGGCGUAGUGGCACUUUGGUGUCGUUGCGUGUUAUCGUGCGCUCGCCGUUAUCGAUGCGUUGUGCUCUAUUGUGCUGUGACCGCAUUACUGUUGCCAGCGCUUCGGUGGACUACGGCAGUGAAAGUGACUGUGCAAGGCACCGUGUUUAUCCACUCCAUCUGGUCGAUUGGUCGGUUGGUCGAUCGAUCGGUUAGGGUAUCCGGCGAGCGCGUCACAGGCGCGAUGGGCGAGGCACUACGCUGUGCGCGUGUGUUGGGUGUGAUUGCCGUGUCGCUCGCAAAAAGUGAGUCCGGCUUUGGCCUGGUUCACGCGCACUGGCGGUUUGGUCAGUGUCUCGAAUGCGUGCGGUACCGUGGGUGCUAUAGUCAGUGGUACUGUGGUAGACGAGCUACCCGACCCGUCUUGAAACACGGACCAAGGAGUUUAACAUGCGUGCGAGUNNNAGGUUCUACGAAACCCUGAGGCGCAGUGAAAGUGAAGUUCGUGCGAGCGAGUGUUCUUUGGACUCUUGGUCGGACGGCGAGGUGCCCAGCACCGAAGCCUGUGGCAGGUUUGCUGUUAGGUUGCUCGCUGUACUGCUGUGCAAUUGCACUGCAGCAGACCGGCUAGUUGGGGUGGAUGGGCGGCUUGUUCGUGCAUCUCCCUGGCUGGACCAGGUGAAGAGCGGUGGGCGCAUCACCGGCCCGUCUCAUGAUGUGGUUGUUGGUGUCCGACGCUGUUGCCCGUGUGUAUGUGCGUGGGCGUGUCGUCGUCUCGUCUUGUGCGGGAUGGCGGGCGUGCACGCCUCAUUGGUGGCUGCGUCAGCCAAUGCGUCAUCGGGGCGGAGCGUGAGCAUGCAUGUUGAGACCCGAAAGAUGGUGAACUAUGCUUGCGUAGGUUGAAGCCAGAGGAAACUCUGGUGGAGGACCGUAGCGAUUCUGACGUGCAAAUCGAUCGUCAAACGCGAGUAUAGGGGCGAAAGACUAAUCGAACCAUCUAGUAGCUGGUUCCCUC